UUAGCCCAGCCAAUAAACAUGCAAGUCGAGCGAGUCCUUCGGGGGCUAGCGGCGGACGGGUGAGUAACACGUAGUGCAACCUGCCCGUAAGCUCGGGAUAACAUGGGGAAACUCAUGCUAAUACCGGAUAGGGUCUUCUCUCGCAUGAGAGGAGACGGAAAGGUGGCGCAAGCUACCACUUACGGAUGGGCCUGCGGCGCAUUAGCUAGUUGGUGGGGUAACGGCCUACCAAGGCGACGAUGCGUAGCCGACCUGAGAGGGUGACCGGCCACACUGGGACUGAGACACGGCCCAGACUCCUACGGGAGGCAGCAGUAGGGAAUUUUCCACAAUGGACGAAAGUCUGAUGGAGCAACGCCGCGUGAACGAUGAAGGUCUUCGGAUUGUAAAGUUCUGUUGUCAGAGACGAACAAGUACCGUUCGAACAGGGCGGUACCUUGACGGUACCUGACGAGAAAGCCACGGCUAACUACGUGCCAGCAGCCGCGGUAAUACGUAGGUGGCAAGCGUUGUCCGGAAUUAUUGGGCGUAAAGCGCGCGCAGGCGGCUAUGUAAGUCUGGUGUUAAAGCCCGGGGCUCAACCCCGGUUCGCAUCGGAAACUGUGUAGCUUGAGUGCAGAAGAGGAAAGCGGUAUUCCACGUGUAGCGGUGAAAUGCGUAGAGAUGUGGAGGAACACCAGUGGCGAAGGGCGGCUUUCUCGUCUGUAACUGACGCUGAGCGCGAAAGCGUGGGGUAGCAAACCAGGGAUUAGAUACCCUGGUAGUCCACGGUCGUAAAACGAUGAGUUGCUAGUGUGGGGGUUUCAAGUACCCUCGUGCGCAUCUAAGACCAAAUAAGCAUCUCCGCUGGGGAGUACGCUCCGCGAGAGUGAACCUCGAAUAUGAUGACGGGGUCGGCUACCAUCGUGGGACCGUUGGUCCAUUCGAUCACGCGAAAGAACCGUUGACCAGAUCCUG
RNAcentral lists this ribosomal RNA (957 nucleotides) under Brevibacillus borstelensis. RNAcentral describes it as "bacterial SSU rRNA". It matches the Rfam family "Bacterial small subunit ribosomal RNA", at positions 36 to 983 of the family's 1533-position model. The record is from RNAcentral. Lineage: Bacteria; Bacillati; Bacillota; Bacilli; Caryophanales; Paenibacillaceae.